RNAcentral lists this microRNA (22 nucleotides) under Ornithorhynchus anatinus (platypus). RNAcentral's name for it is "oan-miR-1419a-3p". Lineage: Eukaryota; Metazoa; Chordata; Mammalia; Monotremata; Ornithorhynchidae. The record is from miRBase by way of RNAcentral.
UGAUAUCAUCACCCAGCAUCGC